Molecule: ribosomal RNA, 232 nt
Filed under: uncultured bacterium
Lineage: Bacteria
Description: partial 16S ribosomal RNA
Rfam family: Bacterial small subunit ribosomal RNA
Source: RNAcentral
UGAGCAACCUGCCCUUGACUCUGGAAUAACAGUUGGAAACAGCUGCUAAUACCGGAUAUGACCUCUGACGACAUCGUCUGGAGGUGGAAAGCUCUGGCGGUCAAGGAUGGGCUCGCGGCCUAUCAGCUUGUUGGUGAGGUAACGGCUCACCAAGGCUUCGACGGGUAGCCGGCCCGAGAGGGCGACCGGCCACACUGGGACUGAGACACGGCCCAAACUCCUACGGGAGCAG